CUAAUAUUAAAAUAAAAGUCUUGAUUUAUUUAGUAAUUGUUUAUUUUUAUAAUCAGCUAUCUAUGAUCACAAAUGUACCUACAGUACAGUAUGAUAAAAAGCGAAAGUAUUAUAAAAAAUUUAGUUUUCAUAAUCCGGCAAUUGAAUAUUGGAGUUAUUGUCAUAUAUAUCACUAUUAUUUUGAUGUCUGGAUAUAGGAGUAGGUAUGUAUUCUAUAUGAGUAGUACCAUAGUUUGGUUCGGUGUUAUAUUGUUGUUCGGGCUUAUUAAAUGAAGAAAAAUUGUGUAAAGGAUUUCUUCUUUCGAUAGUUGUAUUAUGGGUUCUGGCAACAGAAGUUGGUGCGUAUUGCUGAGAUGAAUGAAAUUCAUUUGAAAUAUCGAAUCCUGAACUUGAUGUCGAAGGACGACUUCGCUGCACAACUGAACUUAACUCCACAUUUUCCAAGUGCUUUAUUUCUGCAUCAGUAACAAUACGUAAAACAUCGCGUUUUAUUUCAGCUUGUAAUUUUGGUGACAAAGUCUUCGCUGUUGCCGCCAUUGCUUGAAAAAAUCUCUCCAUAGGAUGUUGUUCCUUCUUUUGGUUUUCAAUGUAUUUUUUUAAUAUUUCUGCUGUUGUUUCUGUAUACUGUGUUUGCGAUGACAUGUAUGAUCGCUGACGAACAUGUCUAGUUGGUCUAGAAUCUGAUGCAUGGGAUGAACACGACAUUUGAGAUACAGGCGAUUGUGCUUCAGGAAAAUUAACAGUUGAUGCUGUUUUGGGAGGUUGUGUAUUUUCGAUAUUCUGCGUAUCUUCGGAAAGCUGUGUAUCGUCGGAAGAAGAGUCUAAAUUUGAGAGCUGAGGUCUAUCUUGAAAAAACUUUUGCAGAAAUUCAAGUUCCUUUUCAAAUUUAAUUGGUCGCUUCUUUUUUGCAGCGUCACCGCUUUUGGACACCCUGUUUUUUAAGGCUUUUCUAUAAUUGUUACGGUACGUUCACACGGAGACACGAUUUGCCGAAUCUUAUUUUCAUCGGAUCUGGAAAAACCGAAUGUUGUAUUCACACAGCACAUCUUGUUUGGCCGUAUCCGACGGCCUCGUAUCGGGAUCUCGUGUGAACUCACCAUCCGGCUUUUAUUAGCAAGAGCGCGCACAGUUCCUCACGUUGAUUUGGAAGCGAUGGACGUGAACAGUCUUGCUAUACUAUACUGGUAUUAUCGCCGUCAGCGUCGUAGAAAAAGAUUGUGGUUAAACCCAAUAGUACAAAGAAGAUCAACAGUUGGUGCCUUUACAACUCUAAUGCAGCAGUUAAGAAAUGAUCCACAAAAAUUUUUUAACUACUUUAGAAUGACUAUACCUACAUUUGAUAAUCUUUUGAAAAAAGUGGAAAAAGAUUUGAAAAAGCGUGAUACAAAUAUGAGGAAAAGCAUUAGACCAGAAGAAAAAUUAGCGAUAUGUAUAAGAUAUAUGGCUUCUGGGUGUUCAUACAAGGAUUUACAUUACGCCUACCGAGUCGGAGUGUCUACGAUCAGUAACAUUAUUAAGGAAGUAACGAAUGCUAUUUGGAACAAUUUGCAUGGGGAGUUUAUGACAUUACCCAACACAAUAUCUGACUGGGAAUAUAUCGCCAAUGGAUUUAAUACUAGAGCAAACUUUCCCCAUUGCAUUGGUGCAGUGGACGGUAAACAUAUUAGGAUAAAAAAGCCAAACAACAGUGGUUCCAUGUUUAUGAAUUACAAAGAUUUCUUUUCCAUCGUAUUAUUAGCAGUGGUUGAUUCAUAUUAUAAAUUUACAUACAUCUGUGUGGGCUCGUAUGGAAAAGAAUGCGAUUCGACAAUAUUCAAGGAGUGUACUUUUUGGAAAAAACUAAUAGAUGGUGAUUUGCAAUUACCGGCAGCAUGUCCACUGACAAACGAUUCCGAUUUAUCGAUUCCGUUUGUAGUAAUAGGCGAUGAAGGUUUUGGCUUGCAUCAACAUUUGAUGAGACCUUACGGCGGAAACCAUUUGGAUAGAAACAAAAGAAUAUAUAACUACAGAUUAACCAGAGCUCGACGCUAUGUUGAGUGCGCCUUUGGGAUAUUAGCUAACAAGUGGCGAAUAUUUCAUCGUCCACUGGAUGUUGAUACCAGCACAGCAAUAUCGAUUGUAAAGGCUUGCACUGUACUUCAUAAUUUUAUAAUAGAUAUGGAAGGUGUACAGUCGAACAUAGAAACAACAAGCAAUGUAUCAUCAGUGGUUAACGUGUUCACAGAUGCACCCAAUGAACAAAAUAGUACACGAGGUGGACGAUGUGCUAAUGUUAUACGAUCUGAAUUCACAAAUUAUUUUAUUUCUACAGCAGGAGCUGUGCCUUGGCAAGACGAAUCAAUCUAACGUUAAUUUUGUAACACACUGCUAAUGUACAAAUACUUAACCUGUUUACUUUAAAAAAUUACAAACUUACCAUAAUCCUGCCUGUUUUUCUCCUCCAUUUCUUCAAAAUCUUCAUUUAAAUUUAUACAUAUUUCUCGCCAGCCAGCAGUUCUCAAGUUUUUAUCCUUGUAUAUUUCGAGAGUUUUGUCCCAUAAAACUGGCCGAUUUUGGACAAGAGAAAUUAAAUUUUCAACGUUUAUAUUUUUCGUCGUCAUAGCGAGCGGUCAGUCAAAGCGGGCGAAAAGAACUGGCGACUGGCAAGCGCACGUGCAGUGUGUCCCUCCCGCCCACCCCUCCUUCCCAGCUUGUGCGACGCAUUCGGUUUCAAGAUCCGACAAAAAACCGAAUCUACCCCUGCGUGUAUCGUAUGAACGCAUCUAUUGAAUGCCCUAUACCACUGUAUCGGAUCUGCAUUUUGCAGUAUCGCCGGAUCGGUUUGUAGUCGCAAAAUCGGAUGUCAACUUCAGCAAGAUUCGGCUUUUUUGUCGUGUCUUGAAACCGAAUGCAUGUGUGAACUCCUUCAUUGAAAUACUUAUGCCACUAAACCGAAUCCUGCAAAAAACCGAUUCGGUAGCACGCCGUGUGAACGUGGCGUUACGGCCCGUUCACACAUGGGAGUCCGUUUUACUGGUACAUUUUUAACGGAUACGUCAUAAAUUUAUGCUCUGUUCACACAUAGGCACCGUAUAACGUUCAACGGAUCCGUCAUUACUGGAUGCGAUGUGUGAACAGAAAACUCGCAGUAUACCGCCGCUAUUCUACAAGGAUGGACGCUGUCGUGUUGUAUUGGUACUAUCGUCGGAGAAGGAAGAUUCGACGUUAUUGGCAGCAUCCACUUAUGGCCCAAAGAUCUAAAGAGGGUGCUUACAGUUUACUUAUGAGUCAGUUACGAGGUGAUGAAUCGAAAUUUUUCAAUUACUUUCGUAUGUCGAUGUCUACUUUUGAUGAACUUCUUAAACUAUUGGAAAAGGAUUUAAAAAAGCAAGAUACUCGUUGGAGGAAAAGUAUCUGCCCAGAAGAAAAACUAGCGAUAUUUUUAAGGUAUGCAGCAUCCGGGUGUUCAUUUAAAGAUCUUCAUUACACCUAUCGCGUUGGUGUAUCGACUGUUAGCAACAUUAUUAAAGAAGUUUCAAGAUGCAUAUGGAACAAUUUAAGUGUAAAAUUUAUGCGACUUCCUACAUCCGUCGACGAAUGGGAACAGAUAGCAAGUGGAUUUAACAAAAAAGCUAAUUUUCCCCACUGUCUCGGAGCUGUCGACGGAAAACAUAUCCGACUUAAAAAACCACUAAAUAGCGGUUCACUGUAUAUCAAUUACAAGGAUUUCUUUUCCAUCAUAUUAUUAGCGAUCGUAGACUCCGACUAUCGCUUUGUAUACGUCAGUCUCGGAUCUUAUGGAAAAGAAUGCGAUUCAUCAAUAUUCAAGGAGACAACAUUUUGGAAAAUGAUGCUAGACGGCAGUCUACAAAUACCAGCACCAUGCCCAUUAACAAGAGACUCAGAAACGCGAGUUCCUUAUGUGGUCAUUGGAGACGAAGGUUUCGGAUUACACGAAAAUUUACUAAGACCGUUUGGCGGGACGCAUCUGGACAAAAAUAAGCGAAUAUUCAACUAUCGUUUGACUAGAGCUAGGAGAUACGUUGAAUGUGCCUUCGGUAUCUUAGCUAAUAAGUGGAGAAUAUUCCAUCGGCCUCUAGACAUCGAUAAAACAACAGCUGUAUGGACUGUUAAGGCAUGUACUAUUCUACACAACUUUAUAAGGGACAAGGAGGGCUCAAACAGUGAUAAUAACGUAUCUGAAGAAUUUAGUUUCGAAAACCUACCCCAUGAAGUAAGAACACGAGGUGGUAAUACUGCUAAUUUAGUUCGAACAGAAUUCGUGAACUAUUUCAUGUCCAAAGCUGGAUCAGUUCCAUGGCAGGAUGAAGCUAUUUAGAAUGUAAUUAAAUAAUAAAACAGACACUUACCGAA
RNA transcript from Bicyclus anynana (squinting bush brown), 4353 nucleotides. RefSeq lists it as uncharacterized. NCBI's taxonomy places the organism in Eukaryota, Metazoa, Arthropoda, Insecta, Lepidoptera, Nymphalidae. The transcript has 3 exons. The record is from RefSeq and is a predicted model, not a curated record.